This 236-nucleotide long non-coding RNA is filed under the name Lathyrus oleraceus (garden pea). RNAcentral describes it as "Pisum sativum (pea) long non-coding RNA (PSAT_LNC018482)". Lineage: Eukaryota; Viridiplantae; Streptophyta; Magnoliopsida; Fabales; Fabaceae. The record is from RNAcentral.
AAUUAGAGGAAUUAAUAGAAUUGAUAAUAAUAAUAAUAAUAAUAAUAAUAAUAAUAAUAACAAUAAUAAUAAUAAUAAUAAUAAUAAUAAUAAUUUGAAUUUCAAAUUUUGAAAAGUGAGAAUAAAGAUUAGUGAAAAAAUGAGAAUAUGGAGAAAAAAGCGAAUGUCAAAAAAAAAAUUGCUAAGGAGGAACUUGAGACAUGACAUGAUUUGGUUGAAAAAUAGUGAAUUAAUUU